Myotis lucifugus (little brown bat) is the source of this 76-nucleotide non-coding RNA. Lineage: Eukaryota; Metazoa; Chordata; Mammalia; Chiroptera; Vespertilionidae. The record is from Rfam.
GGUGGUUCUCGGGUAAUGCACCCUGAAAUCGGGCUCCCUCCUCUCUGGUUCUGGGGUGCGUCACCCAAGAACCGCC